GCACUGGGGGCUCAGUGGUAGAAUUCUCACUUUUCAUGUGGGAGACCCGGGUUCGAUUCCAGGCCAAUGUA
RNAcentral lists this transfer RNA (71 nucleotides) under Loxodonta africana (African savanna elephant). It matches the Rfam family "tRNA". From Rfam's summary of the family: Transfer RNA (tRNA) molecules are approximately 80 nucleotides in length. Their secondary structure includes four short double-helical elements and three loops (D, anti-codon, and T loops). The record is from Rfam by way of RNAcentral. Lineage: Eukaryota; Metazoa; Chordata; Mammalia; Proboscidea; Elephantidae.